This 724-nucleotide unclassified non-coding RNA is filed under the name Hevea brasiliensis (rubber tree). Lineage: Eukaryota; Viridiplantae; Streptophyta; Magnoliopsida; Malpighiales; Euphorbiaceae. The record is from RNAcentral.
AAAAGUAACAUCUAACUGUAAAUGGAGUGAGGAAUUUUCUCAAGUUUACACCUUUUGAACUAAAUUACUCAUAAACCAGUAUGAAAGACAAAAAUAUCAAGAAAUUGGUGAGGCAAAAGAAAACAUACAAUAUAAUCUCAACUUUUAACAAACUGCAAGCCAUUUGAAUUAGCAUACCGCUCCAUAAAUCUCAUGAACCUAUCCCAGUCUCGUGGAGUCCGCAUAAUAUACUUAGCUUCAAUUCCUGCAGGCUUUCCAUUAACAAACUUAGCAUUGACAUCAACUGACGUUAGAACCCCUUCUUCGUCAAUCAUGUAGAAUCCAGUGAUAUCCCCUACUUCACCAGAUGAAUCAAAUACGGAGGGUUGAUCAAACCUGAAUAUAGCCAUACCAUUUGUUCCAUCCCUUGACUUUGUUAGUUUCACAUCUGGUAUUGUUUGCUCAUCAGUUCCUUGUAUGAACUGAAUUUUUGGUUGAACCAUCACUAUACAUAGUCUGGACAUUUUCUUGUUUUGGAUAUCGGUAGCAAAACGCGAACGGGAUAGGCACAAUCGUUGGCCAUUGAAUGAAGAACCUGAACUUUGAUGAACUAUCCUUGAUGCUAUUCCGAGAAGAGAGCGAGGCUGAUGCGUAGUGUGAGAAAGUGCAGGGGAAAAUGCGAGAGAUUGAAGAGUCGCCAUUAGAGACAGAGAAUGUAGUAUGGAGGAGAGAGAAUAGACUAAAA